RNAcentral lists this long non-coding RNA (1474 nucleotides) under Sus scrofa (pig). Its description in RNAcentral is "lncRNA (ENSSSCG00035073405.1)". The record is from RNAcentral. Lineage: Eukaryota; Metazoa; Chordata; Mammalia; Artiodactyla; Suidae.
GCGGUUGCUAUGACGCCUGAGACUGGGCAGGCACCUGCCGCUGGCCUCUGAGCGGCUGUGGAGCGGCGUUGGGCGCGCCCUGGGACCCUCACAGCGCUCACCGAAGGACACUUUCGGGCCCGGGUCCCGAGGCUCCGGCCGCAGACCCGAGGAGGAAAGGACCUAUUCUCCGUUCUUUUUCAGCAUCCCGGUCUUUCCCUCUUCUCUGCCCAGCAUGGCCCGAAACGACAGGAGAGCCUCUUCUGGAUCGGCCUUUCCAACCGCGGGCUGGAGGGAUUCUGCAUGAGGAUGGAGUCGCCGGUUUCCCGGGACCCACGCACAGCAGGCAUUUAGAGUUAGGCUGCUGCUCUUAUUUAAAGAGGGCUGAGAACACCCGCAAUCUGUUGGGUAGGCGUUCCUUUUCUCACUUUCCAGGCGAAGACUCACCCCUGCACAGAGACCGGGCCUGAAAAUCCAGGCCAUGACAAAGUCCACCAAACCACCGCUUCCCCUGGUUGCCGGCCUGUGAACAAAGAACUGCCAUUUUCUUCUUUUUGCCCUGUGUUCGUCAUGCACCUUACUUCCUGAUGAAGCUGGAGGCCUUUUGCAUCCUCAACGUCAAGCGUCAUCAAGAGAUUGGAUAUAGUUCCCUGGCAACUCUACUUGUAGUUUUUUGAGGAAGCUCCCUACUGUUUCCCACAGUGGCUGCACCAACUUACAUUCCCGUCAACAGUGGAAGAGGGUUCCCUUUUCUCUACACUCUUCCCAGCAUUUACUAUUUGUCGACUUUUUAAUGACGGCCAUUCUGACAGGAAGAAGUUCAGUUAGAAGACUUUCUUCACAUCUUGAGAAAGAAGGGAUUGAACCCCUUUCCUUUAGAGAACAGCCCUCUAUUUCGUCUGGGGCUCGUUACAGCAAGCACAGCUGAGGACUGCCUCCAGGAAUCUAGAAGAGCUUCCAGUGGAGCCCAUGGAAGAAUUGAAAGAAGUGGAAAAUUAUGCAAACCGCGUCUGUAACUUACCAGAGGCAAAAGAAGCAUUUUCUCAUGGUUGUGAAAAGGAAAGCAGACAGCCUAGACAUGAGUUUAAAGAGUUCCAACUCAAACCAGGAGAAAUUUGAACAAAUCUACCAGCCUCUGCAAAGGGAACAUCAGAGACAUCAAGAACCUGCACAUCAGUCUAGAAAAAAUUUGAGCGAGGUGGGAAAAAAAAUUACAGUUUUUUUAUUUAAUAAUAGUAGCUAAUUACAAGCUCACGUUUACCGUGGAAGUAUGUUGUUUGAAUAUUUUAAAAUGUAUAAAUCCAUGCUGUAAAAAUAUCAGUGGUACUUAAAAGUAUUAUAAACAUAGUACAAAUAUUUGGGGAGAAGAAAAAAUUAAUCACCUAUUUAACACAAGAGCUGAUUUUUACUGAAUGUAUCAAAAUUUAAACCAUCAAUGUAUGUCAUGAACUUUGAAAAAUCACUUUGGACAGCACAUACUUUUCAAGUAUAUUUG